ACCCGUGUGAUGGAAUGGCAGACGUCCCGCACUCAGGAUGUGGAUUUUGCGGGUUCGAAUCCCGCUGCGGGUA
Molecule: transfer RNA, 73 nt
Filed under: Clostridium porci
Lineage: Bacteria; Bacillati; Bacillota; Clostridia; Eubacteriales; Clostridiaceae
Description: Clostridium sp. WCA-389-WT-23D1 tRNA-Leu
Rfam family: tRNA
About the family: Transfer RNA (tRNA) molecules are approximately 80 nucleotides in length. Their secondary structure includes four short double-helical elements and three loops (D, anti-codon, and T loops).
Source: RNAcentral